AGUAAAAGUCGUAACAAGGUCUCCGUUGGUGAACCAGCGGAGGGAUCAUUACAGAGUUAUCCAACUCCCAAACCCAUGUGAACUUAUCUCUUUGUUGCCUCGGCGCAAGCUACCCGGGACCUCGCGCCCCGGGGGGCCCGCCGGCGGACAAACCAAACUCUGUUAUCUUCGUUGAUUAUCUGAGUGUCUUAUUUAAUAAGUCAAAACUUUCAACAACGGAUCUCUUGGUUCUGGCAUCGAUGAAGAACGCAGCGAAAUGCGAUAAGUAAUGUGAAUUGCAGAAUUCAGUGAAUCAUCGAAUCUUUGAACGCACAUUGCGCCCAUUAGUAUUCUAGUGGGCAUGCCUGUUCGAGCGUCAUUUCAACCCCUAAGCACAGCUUAUUGUUGGGACUCUACGGCUUCGUAGUUCCCCAAAGACAUUGGCGGAGUGGCAGCAGUCCUCUGAGCGUAGUAAUUCUUUAUCUCGCUUUUGUUAGGCGCUGCCCCCCCGGCCGUAAAACCCCCAAUUUUUUCUGGUUGACCUCGGAUCAGGUAGGAAUACCCGCUGAACUUAAGCAUAUCAAUAAGCGGAGGA
Molecule: ribosomal RNA, 574 nt
Filed under: uncultured fungus
Lineage: Eukaryota; Fungi
Description: eukaryotic LSU rRNA
Rfam family: 5.8S ribosomal RNA (bases 205-358)
Source: RNAcentral